UGCUCAGAAUUACACCAAAGGGUAAUGUGGUAAAUUACUUAUGGAUCCUAAUUGUUCAAUAUGGUUUAUCUAAAUUUUCUGGUCUAGUUGUUAGGCACCUAUAACCUUUCUUUGAUGGUCGCACCAGCGUUUUCCUUUAUUUGAAAGCUUAGCAUGUGGAUCUUAUCCUAACACAGUUUCGAAAUGGCCACAGAUCUCCCUAAUUACGUUUCCCCAAGAGUGGUUGUGGUGUGAAAUCCUGGUGUGGAAACGCCACAAAAUCCGAAGGCUAGAACAAUCGAUCUUUGCAAUAAUCCCAUGACAAAGGAACCGAAGCUUCAGGGUGCUAGAAGAAUAGUAACUGAGAAUGGCCCGAUCUUGCUCUCGAGGCACGAAAAUUCACAACAAAAAUCUUGGGUGAAGAUAUGGAACUCAACGAGCCUGUCGCUGCUGCGACAGAAAAUCCUAAGUCCUAACCCUUCUCCUUCAAGAGACAUCUCUGAAGAUUCAGAACAAGAUCUGGAAUCUAAGGCAGAAUUGUAAAUGCAGGUUCCUCUAAUUUCAAAAGAAGAGAAGAAAACUUUAUUGCUAGGUAAGGUUUCUAGUUUUUGUUUUUUGAAGUACCAGUUUCAAAGACACAUUUCAGCAAAACUGUCCUGGGAGAGUGAAGAAUCAACUAUAGUUUGCAUUUUUGCAAUGUUCUAAACUAGAUAGGCUCAACAUUUUGUGAAGUAGAUCAACCUUGUGCAGAAGAAUAAUCUCAGUAUAGUUAUGAUUAAGUUUCACUACUUUUGCAAUUUGCAAAUGAUAAUAAAAUUCGACACUGUUAUGAUUAA
Molecule: long non-coding RNA, 815 nt
Organism: Brassica napus (rape)
Lineage: Eukaryota; Viridiplantae; Streptophyta; Magnoliopsida; Brassicales; Brassicaceae
Exons: 3
Source: RefSeq, a predicted model, not a curated record